Molecule: long non-coding RNA, 167 nt
Organism: Haliotis rubra (blacklip abalone)
Lineage: Eukaryota; Metazoa; Mollusca; Gastropoda; Lepetellida; Haliotidae
Exons: 2
Source: RefSeq, a predicted model, not a curated record
GUUGCUGAAGACCAAUUCUAUCCUGGAUCUUCACAGAAAAUGCCUGGCAUUUCCACAUGGCUGAGUUUAACACAUCAAUUUUUUGUUUAAACAGAUAACUGGGGAACUAAUUAGAGAUUGAUGUAGCUCUUUGUUUAAUAAGGUGUUAAUAAAAACUUCUGAGUAUA